This 70-nucleotide transfer RNA is filed under the name Podarcis lilfordi (Lilford's wall lizard). RNAcentral's name for it is "tRNA.Asn". The stretch from base 4 to 62 matches the Rfam family "tRNA", at positions 8 to 63 of the family's 71-position model. Rfam says of the family: Transfer RNA (tRNA) molecules are approximately 80 nucleotides in length. The record is from RNAcentral. Lineage: Eukaryota; Metazoa; Chordata; Lepidosauria; Squamata; Lacertidae.
AGAUGGCACAGCGGGUCAGUGCAUCUAGCUGUUAAGCAGAAGGUUGGUGGUUUGAGCCCACCCAGAAAUG